GACGAACGCUGGCGGCGUGCUUAAUACAUGCAAGUCGAACGGAAAGGCCCUGCUCUUGUGGCGUGCUCGUGUGGCGAACGCGUGUGUAUCACGCGUGUAACCUGCCCCUGUCUUUGGGAUAACUCCAGGAAACUCGGGCUCAUAUCCGAUAUGAGAUCUUGAAGCACGGUGGGGGAGGGUAAGAGUCGGCGGUUCGGGAUGGACUCGCGGCUUAUCAGCUUGUUGGUGAGGUAGUGGCUUACAAAGGCUCCGACGGGUAGCCGGCCUGAGAGGGUGACCGGGCCCAAUGGUACUGAGAGAGGACCCAGAAGGCUACGGGAGGCAACGGUGGGAAAUAUUGCGCAGUAGGCCGAAGCGUGAUACAACGUUGCCGCGUGCGAGAUGACUGCCUUCGGGGUGUAAACCGCUUUCGCCUGUGACGAAGCGUGAGUGACGGUAAUUGGUAAGAAAGCACCGGCUAACUACGUG
RNAcentral lists this ribosomal RNA (468 nucleotides) under uncultured bacterium. Its description in RNAcentral is "partial 16S ribosomal RNA". It matches the Rfam family "Bacterial small subunit ribosomal RNA", at positions 28 to 507 of the family's 1533-position model. The record is from RNAcentral.